This is a non-coding RNA of Phrynosoma platyrhinos (Desert horned lizard), 72 nucleotides long. The record is from the annotation of a GenBank genome assembly. NCBI's taxonomy places the organism in Eukaryota, Metazoa, Chordata, Lepidosauria, Squamata, Phrynosomatidae.
GCCAGUGUGGCAAAGUGGUUUGAGUGUUGGAAUGUGACUCUGAAGACCAAGGUUCGAUUCCCUGCUUGGCCA